Trifolium pratense (red clover) is the source of this 357-nucleotide long non-coding RNA. RefSeq lists it as uncharacterized. NCBI's taxonomy places the organism in Eukaryota, Viridiplantae, Streptophyta, Magnoliopsida, Fabales, Fabaceae. The record is from RefSeq and is a predicted model, not a curated record. The transcript has 3 exons.
AUGACCACAAUCAUAACAAUCCCAACCAUUACUGCAUCCGUCAUCGCAAAAUUGGAAACCUUAUUAGUUUCAUCAUUUGAAUAAUAAUUUCUUCUUUUCUUCUUCUUACAGGCUCUUUUUCUGGAAACCCCGUUCGGUAUUGUAUUUGGGGCUGACACCAUUGCUCGAUGUGGUAACUAAGUAAGAAUAACUGAUGGGAUUCAUAAUAAUCCGUUUCACUCAUUUUUCACAUUAUUUGUGGUUUGCUGCAGUUUUUCAAUUGAAGAAUCGCAAAACUUUGUGCGGCUCUUCUAUGAUUGAACAUGUUUUCGUCGAACAAUGGAUAGCUUUUUCAACCAUGUUAGUUAUGUUUUGAGA